RNAcentral lists this ribosomal RNA (469 nucleotides) under Calumma cucullatum. RNAcentral describes it as "partial 16S ribosomal RNA". It matches the Rfam family "Bacterial large subunit ribosomal RNA", at positions 1847 to 2592 of the family's 2925-position model. The record is from RNAcentral. Lineage: Eukaryota; Metazoa; Chordata; Lepidosauria; Squamata; Chamaeleonidae.
UAGAAGUAACGCCUGCCCUGUGGAACCCUAAACGGCCGCGGCAUUAAAACCGUGCAAAGGUAGCACAAUCACUUGUCCCUUAAAUGAGGACCCGUAUGAAAGGCAACAUGAGAGAAGACCUGUCUCCUAAGGCAAGCCAAUGAAAUUGAACUGCCAGUACAAAGGCUGGCAUAAAUAAGCAAGACAAAAAGACCCCGUGGAACUUUAACAAAUUACUUACACAAACUAAGCAAUAGUUUUGGUUGGGACAACUUUAGAAAAAAUAAACUUCUUAACCUGCUGAGACCAACAAGUCUAAGACUCCAAUUACGACCCAGUUAUACUGACUAACGAAUAAAGCUACCCCGGGGAUAACAGCGCUACCUUCUAAAAGAGUCCAUAUCAACAAGAAGACCUACGACCUCGAUGUUGGAUCAGGGUACCCCGACGGUGCAACAGCUAUCAACGGUUCGUUUGUUCAACGACUAAC